RNAcentral lists this microRNA precursor (117 nucleotides) under Nicotiana tabacum (common tobacco). Its description in RNAcentral is "miR172c stem-loop (nta-MIR172c)". Its record names the gene nta-MIR172c. It matches the Rfam family "mir-172 microRNA precursor family". Rfam says of the family: mir-172 has been experimentally verified in Arabidopsis thaliana. This family is thought to target mRNAs coding for APETALA2-like transcription factors. The record is from miRBase by way of RNAcentral. Lineage: Eukaryota; Viridiplantae; Streptophyta; Magnoliopsida; Solanales; Solanaceae.
GUUUGCGGAUGUAGCAUCAUCAAGAUUCACAUGCAAAACGCAUGGUGAUGAAAUGAUAUUAAUGGCCAUGGCAGCUUUUUGAAGGUGAGAAUCUUGAUGAUGCUGCAUCAGCAAUAA